CUAUACUGCAUGCCUAUCUCUAAAUUUACUAGAGAUCUCGAAUGAUCCGUCAUCAACAUAAAAUUCCAUAACAGACAAAAGGCUAUACGAAUAAAUUAGAAUAGCCCAUUACUGGGGUUCAUGACCAAGGACAGGCACAUGCACAUGGGAUCAGGGGGAAACAAAGGUCACAUAGAAAAAGUAUUUUAAUCUAUAGACAUAGAAAAAACACAUGUGUGUACUAGGAAAACAAUACUUAAAUAAAGUAUAACAAUGAAUGCAAGCAAACUAAGUAAUAUCUUCUGAAAAUGUAACCAUACCGUCGUCCUACAUGUUUUAUUGGUACAUGUUUACAAUUGAUAUGCCCAAUAAUGUCUUAAUUUGAUAUAAUUUCAAAGACAGUAAGGUAAGAAUAACAUUUCAAAAUAUGUACAAAAAAGUAAAAAAAAAAAAAACUUUUCUUAUACAUGUAAACCAGUAAAAAUUGAUAUUGAAGUGUGUCCUUUUCAUUUGAUGAGCAGUCCCAAUUUCCUCGAAAAGUUCAUGAAUGCACAACAAAUAGUAACACCUAAUGCAAAUAAAGGUAUAUCUAAAAUUAGAUGUGUUAAUAUGUUUGCUUUGAAGGCACAUGUUAUUGUGGUGUAAUGAGAUAUAUGAAAUUCCAAAUGUGUUAAAUAUGCAGAUAAUUGAAGAACACAUGCAGAUUUUGGUUGUUCUACCAAACAGACAAAUAUUCUUCGGGACAAUUAGAUGAUAUGUGUAAAGAACAGCCCGUAAAAUGAUACGUGUGGAUCCUUUAUUCUUCAACACAAGAAGGGUUCUCUCAAAACAGGCAUUUUAAAUACAGACAAAUAUAUAAUGGAGAAAAUUCAAACAUAGAUAUAAUCUUGAUAUUAAAUUGGGCACUAGCUACAAGCUAAGAUAUAUAAAAAAUCUAAUAUAUUUUGUGUUUGCUCAAUCAUUAAUGAAAUGCAAAUUGUGAAUAAUAAUUCGUUUAAAGAAACCCAGUAUGGUUCAAUUUUGUCAGAAUAAGCUAAAAACAUUGAUUGUGAAUUAUUUACUUGCAAGUGAACAAUUCGACCUCAUGGAAUCCGUAUUCAUGUGAACUUCGAUUUAACCCCUUAGCUUGAGAUGAAUAACACGUGAAUUGUGUGUGUAAAGUUAUUUAAAGGAAAAGAAUGUCAACAUUGAAAGUGAAACAAAGGAAAAUCAUUUGAUUGACUGAUUCGAUCCACAAAAAUCAUUAUUAUACAGGGAAAAACGAUAAUAAACAUUUAUUUUUCAUCUAUAAUAUGAAAUUAAAUAGACCUAGAUAAUCCCAACAGCACGAGUUUGCCUUAUCUAUCUAUAGAUAUAGAAAGAUGUGGUGUGAGUGCCAAUGAGACAACUCUCCAUCCAAAUAACAAUUUAUAAACCAUUAUAGGUCAAUGUACGGCCUACGACACGAAGCCUUAUCUAUAUUUAUGUUUACAUCGCUUAUAUGGUCAUCGGAUGACUUUAUAGGUCAACUCGAUAGUUAAUAAGAUGGCAUAUAGACGAAAAUACACACGAAACGAAGUUACGUAUUUUUAUGCCAGUGCCCUGUUAAUUGUUUAUUUUAGACUUUUAAUAGUUUGGAAACAUGUUUUACAUUGUUAUAAAUCAAAUAUGAGAAUUUGAUUAAAUUGGUGAUCAUGAAUUUGACAGCUAGUGCCCCUU
RNAcentral lists this long non-coding RNA (1677 nucleotides) under Mytilus galloprovincialis (Mediterranean mussel). Lineage: Eukaryota; Metazoa; Mollusca; Bivalvia; Mytilida; Mytilidae. The record is from RNAcentral.